GUGAAAGGCUAAUCAAACCCGGAGAUAGCUGGUUCUCCCCGAAAUCUAUUUAGGUAGAGCCUUAUAUAUAACUCGUUGGGGUAAAGCACUGUUUCGGCUAGGGGGUCAUCUCGACUUACUGAACCGAUGCAAACUUAGAAUACGACGAAGUUUAAGUAUAGGAGACACACUGCGGGUGCUAAGGUCCGUAGUGGAGAGGGAAACAGCCCAGACCGUCGUCUAAGGCCCCAAAGUCGAUGCUAAGUGGUAAAGGAUGUGGGGGUGCUUAUACAACCAGGAUGUUGGCUUAGAAGCAGCCACCAUU
RNAcentral lists this ribosomal RNA (304 nucleotides) under Symbiodinium sp. clade D. Its description in RNAcentral is "partial Bacterial large subunit ribosomal RNA". It matches the Rfam family "Bacterial large subunit ribosomal RNA", at positions 821 to 1123 of the family's 2925-position model. Lineage: Eukaryota; Dinophyceae; Suessiales; Symbiodiniaceae. The record is from RNAcentral.